AAAUAAAGUCUUACCUGCAGGAAACAUUAACCCAAGACCAGAGAAAUCCUCAGGGAGGAGCCCGCAGCCCUGGAGGGCAUGCAUGGCUGAAAGGGAGGGCACGGCAAGAAGACAGCCAUCUGCAGCCAGGAAGAAGGCUCUCAUCUGAACCCAACCCUGAUCUCAGACUUCUAGCCUCCAGAACUGUGAGAAAGGAAUGCUGUAAAAUGGCCAUCUCCCUGAGACAAGACCACAUCCUUGACAUCCUCGUACUGGCUGUGAAGAUCCAGACUCUAACUUUCCCUGCUCUGGCUGCUCGAUGAGAGAAAAAAAAAGGACCAAGGAAAAUGCCCAAACUGUAUUGCAUUGGGUGGAAGUGUGUCCCCUCCAAGUUCACGUCCACCUGGAACCUCAGAAUUCGACUUUCUUUGAAAACAGGGUCUUUGCAGAUGUAAUUAGUUAAAGAUGAGGUCAGAUUGGAGUAGGGUGGGUCCUUACCCAAUGACUGGCAUCCUUAUAAAAAGAGAAAGCACAGACAGCUGGGCAGAAGGCAAGGUUACCACGGAGGCUGAGACUGGAGUGAUGUGCCUACAGGCCAAGGAACGCCAUGGAUGGCUGGCAACAUCAGAAGUCAGAAAGAGGCCGGGAAGGAUCCUCCCCUAGACCUUUUGGAGGGAGUAUGGCCCUGUGGACACCUUGAUUUCAGACUUCUGGCCUCCAGAACCGUGAGAGAAUAAACUUCUGUUGUUCUAAGCCACUCAGCUCGUGGUACUUUGUUAUGACAGCCCCAGGAAACCAAAGCAUGUAUACUCGCAGCAUAGCAGUCAUGUCUUGCACAAUAAAUAUCUGAUGAAUGAAUGAGUAUAUGAGAUCAGAGGGUGUUAAUACACACGAAACAGCCAGGUGGCCAAGAUCAAGAUGUACUGAUACAUUCCCCAAGUUGACACUGUCCAC
Molecule: long non-coding RNA, 933 nt
Organism: Orcinus orca (killer whale)
Lineage: Eukaryota; Metazoa; Chordata; Mammalia; Artiodactyla; Delphinidae
Exons: 3
Source: RefSeq, a predicted model, not a curated record